AGAUACCCCUGUAGUCCUGGCCGUAAACGACGAACACUAGGUGUCGGGGGAAUCGACCCCCUCGGUGUCGUAGCCAACGCGUUAAGUGUUCCGCCUGGGGAGUACGCACGCAAGUGUGAAACUCAAAGGAAUUGACGGGGGCCCGCACAAGCGGUGGAGUAUGUGGUUUAAUUCGAUGCAACGCGAAGAACCUUACCAGGGCUUGACAUCCUGCGAACCUCUGGGAAACCGGAGGGUGCCUUCGGGAACGCAGUGACAGGUGGUGCAUGGCUGUCGUCAGCUCGUGUCGUGAGAUGUUGAGUUAAGUCCCGCAACGAGCGCAACCCACGUCUUUAGUUGCCAGCAUUCAGUUGGGCACUCUAGAGAGACCGCCGGUGAUAAACCGGAGGAAGGUGUGGAUGACGUCAAGUCAUCAUGCCCCUUACGUCCUGGGCUACACACGUACUACAAUGCUACGGACAAAGGGCAGCGAACUCGCGAGAGUCAGCAAAUCCCAUAAACCGUGGCUCAGUUCAGAUCGUAGGCUGCAACUCGCCUACGUGAAGGAGGAAUCGCUAGUAAUCGCAGGUCAGCAUACUGCGGUGAAUACGUUCCCGGGCCUUGUACACACCGCCCGUCACACCAUGGAAGUUGGCCACGCCCGAAGUCGUUACUCCAACCCUUGUGGAGGAGGACGCCGAAGGUGGGGCUGAUGACUGGGGUGAAGUCGUAACAAGGUAGCCGUACCGGAAGGUGCGGCUGGAUCACCUCCUAA
This 754-nucleotide ribosomal RNA is filed under the name uncultured cyanobacterium. Its description in RNAcentral is "bacterial SSU rRNA". It matches the Rfam family "Bacterial small subunit ribosomal RNA", at positions 780 to 1533 of the family's 1533-position model. Lineage: Bacteria; Bacillati; Cyanobacteriota. The record is from RNAcentral.